This 953-nucleotide ribosomal RNA is filed under the name Mycolicibacterium mucogenicum. RNAcentral's name for it is "partial 16S ribosomal RNA". It matches the Rfam family "Bacterial small subunit ribosomal RNA", at positions 60 to 1035 of the family's 1533-position model. Lineage: Bacteria; Bacillati; Actinomycetota; Actinomycetes; Mycobacteriales; Mycobacteriaceae. The record is from RNAcentral.
AGUCGNACGGNNNGNCCUUCGGGGUACUCGAGUGGCGAACGGGUGAGUAACACGUGGGUGAUCUGCCCUGCACUUUGGGAUAAGCCUGGGAAACUGGGUCUAAUACCGAAUAGGACCACGCGCUUCAUGGUGUGUGGUGGAAAGCUUUUGCGGUGUGGGAUGGGCCCGCGGCCUAUCANCUUGUUGGUGGGGUAAUGGCCUACCAAGGCGACGACGGGUAGCCGGCCUGAGAGGGUGACCGGCCACACUGGGACUGAGAUACGGCCCAGACUCCUACGGGAGGCAGCAGUGGGGAAUAUUGCACAAUGGGCGCAAGCCUGAUGCAGCGACGCCGCGUGAGGGAUGACGGCCUUCGGGUUGUAAACCUCUUUCAAUAGGGACGAAGCGCAAGUGACGGUACCUAUAGAAGAAGCACCGGCCAACUACGUGCCAGCANNNNNGGUAAUACGUAGGGUGCGAGCGUUGUCCGGAAUUACUGGGCGUAAAGAGCUCGUAGGUGGUUUGUCGCGUUGUUCGUGAAAACUCACAGCUUAACUGUGGGCGUGCGGGCGAUACNGGCAGACUANAGUACUGCAGGGGAGACUGGAAUUCCUGGUGUAGCGGUGGAAUGCGCAGAUAUCAGGAGGAACACCGGUGGCGAAGGCGGGUCUCUGGGCAGUAACUGACGCUGAGGANCGAANGCGUGGGGAGCGAACAGGAUUANAUACCCUGGUAGUCCACGCCGUANCGGUGGGUACUANGUGUGGGUUCCUUCCUUGGGAUCCGUGCCGUANCUAACGCAUUNAGUACCCCGCCUGGGGANUACGGCCGCAAGGCUAAANUNNNGGAAUUGACGGGGGCCCGCACAAGCNGCNGNANCAUGUGGANUAAUUCGAUGCAACGCGAANAACCUUAUCNGGGUUUGACAUGCACAGGACNCCGGCANAGAUGUCGNUNCCUUGUGGNCNGUGUGC